GACAGAGGUGCCGAGCGUUAGGCGGAAUCACUGGGCUUAAAGCGUGUGUAGGUGGAUGCCUAAGUACCUUGUGAAAUCCCACGGCUUAACCGUGGAACUGCUUGGUAUACUGGGUGUCUUGAGCCAGCUAGGGGCUACCGGAACAAAUGGUGGAGCGGUGAAAUGCGUAGAUAUCAUUUGGAACGCCAAUGGUGAAAACAGGUAGCUGUGGCUGUGCUGACACUGAGACA
RNAcentral lists this ribosomal RNA (230 nucleotides) under uncultured bacterium. RNAcentral describes it as "partial 16S ribosomal RNA". It matches the Rfam family "Bacterial small subunit ribosomal RNA", at positions 524 to 753 of the family's 1533-position model. The record is from RNAcentral.